UGGGGAAUAUUGGGCAAUGGGCGAAAGCCUGACCCAGCAACGCCGCGUGAGGGAAGAAGGUUUUCGGAUUGUAAACCUCUGUCCUUGGGGACGAAAAAAAUGACGGUACCCAAGGAGGAAGCCCCGGCUAACUACGUGCCAGCAGCCGCGGUAAUACGUAGGGGGCGAGCGUUGUCCGGAAUUACUGGGCGUAAAGGGUGCGUAGGCGGUUAUUUAAGUCAGAUGUGAAAUCCCCGGGCUCAACUCGGGUGGUGCAUUUGAAACUGGGUAACUAGAGUGCAGGAGAGGGAAGCGGAAUUCCUAGUGUAGCGGUGAAAUGCGUAGAUAUUAGGAGGAACACCAGUGGCGAAGGCGGCUUUCUGGACUGUAACUGACGCUGAGGCACGAAAGCGUGGGGAGCAAACAG
This 406-nucleotide ribosomal RNA is filed under the name uncultured bacterium. Its description in RNAcentral is "bacterial SSU rRNA". It matches the Rfam family "Bacterial small subunit ribosomal RNA", at positions 355 to 775 of the family's 1533-position model. The record is from RNAcentral.